RNAcentral lists this ribosomal RNA (468 nucleotides) under uncultured bacterium. Its description in RNAcentral is "partial 16S ribosomal RNA". It matches the Rfam family "Bacterial small subunit ribosomal RNA", at positions 28 to 507 of the family's 1533-position model. The record is from RNAcentral.
GACGAACGCUGGCGGCGUGCUUAACACAUGCAAGUCGAACGGAAAGGCCCUGCUUUUGUGGGGUGCUCGAGUGGCGAACGGGUGAGUAACACGUGAGUAACCUGCCCUUGACUUUGGGAUAACUUCAGGAAACUGGGGCUAAUACCGGAUAGGAGCUCCUGCUGCAUGGUGGGGGUUGGAAAGUUUCGGCGGUUGGGGAUGGACUCGCGGCUUAUCAGCUUGUUGGUGGGGUAGUGGCUUACCAAGGCUUUGACGGGUAGCCGGCCUGGGAGGGUGACCGGCCACAUUGGGACUGAGAUACGGCCCAGACUCCUACGUGAGGCAGCAGUGGGGAAUAUUGCACAAUGGGCGGAAGCCUGAUGCAGCAACGCCGCGUGCGGGAUGACGGCCUUCGGGUUGUAAACCGCUUUCGCCUGUGACGAAGCGUGAGUGACGGUAAUGGGUAAAGAAGCACCGGCUAACUACGUG